AGGUCAUUAAUAUAUGCAAUACCUGGUCAAAAUAUAGACAUAGAAAUUAAAUUAACAUGUUAUAAAUUAUGCAUUUUAUAUAUACAUAAAACAAUUGGAAUCUCAACUUGUACCAACUCAAAAUAUCAUACUAUUUACUAAGUUUCUGUUAAAAUAAAUGUAUCAUCUUCUUCAAUUAGGUCUUUGGGAGGUUAUCUUCUGUAUUGUGAACAACAAAAACAAAAUACAAAAAGCAUCAUUCACCAACCAGUUAUACAAGGGUUAAGUCACAACCCACUGCAGUUGCCCACUGACAGUACACCUUGAGAUGUAUUCAGGAUGAAGAAACAGGAUAAGGCACUCUGUUCUUUGGCUAAACAGGCCCUUAGAUAGUUAGAUGUAUAUCUCAGGAAGAAUUUAAAUUACCCCAGAUUCUUGCGUCUUCCCAUACAUAGAAAAGCCCUAAAAUCAUUAACUUAAGAUAUCUGUUUACUGUGACUACUGUAGUAGUAAUCUUAUCUGUUAGGGGUGUUGGUGCGCAUGCGUGAGCUCCAGCUGAGUGUGGCUGGGGCUCUGCGACCCCGGCGCAAGUGCUGGUGCUUGGGGCCCAGGGAGGGCCGUCGCCAUGGCAGCGCCGGCCACGCGGUGAGGGGGCCGCCCUCCCUGCUGGUUGCUCCCGCAGCCUCGCUGCCUGCUGGUAGGAACCUUGAGAUUUCGCCCCCGACUGGGUGCCUGCUGAGUGCCUCACCAGCCAGACAAGCACCCUGUAAAGACUGCCAGGCAAUAAUGAAGGUUCUUUUACUGGAAGACCCUAAGGAGGACGACUGUGGCCAGGAUCCCUACAUCAGGGAAUUAGGAUUAUAUGGACUUGAAGCCACUUUGAUCCCUGUUUUAUCAUUUGAGUUUUUGUCUCUUCCCGGUUUUUCGGAGAAGCUGUCUCACCCUGAAGGUUACGGGGGCCUCAUUUUUACCAGCCCCAGAGCAGUGGAAGCAGUGUAAAUGUGUUUGGAGAAAGACAAUAAAACCGAAGUCUGGAGAAAGUCUCUGAAAGAAAAAUGGAAUGCUAAGUCAGUGUAUGUGGUGGGAAAUGCUACUGCUUCUCUAGUGAAUAAAAUUGGCCUGCAUACAGAAGGAGAAAACUGUGGAAAUGCAGAAAAGCUUGCAGAGUGCAUUUGUUCUAGGGAGUCGUCAGCACUGCCUCUUCUGUUUCCCUGUGGAACCCUCAAAAGAGAAAUCCUGCCGAAAAUGCUCAAGGACAAAGGGAUUCCCGGGGAGAGCUUAACCGUCUACCAGAUGAUCCCACACCCAGGAAUCCAGGGGAACAUCAACAGCUACUAUUCCCAGCAGGGCAUUCCAGCCAGCAUCACGUUUUUCAGACCCUCUGGCGUGACACACAGUCUCAAGCAUAUUCAAGAGUUAUCUGGUGACAACAUUGACCAGAUUAAGGUGCGGCUCACAGCACCCCUGGGGGGUCAGGACUGUCUCAGUUGUAUAGACACUUACGGCCCCUCCCUCCACCCCGGUUGGCACGCUCACUCCGGUCGGUGCCCAGGGACGGAGCACGGGCAUCAGCACUGGGCUGUCCGGGGCACUGCUCUGGGACACUGUCUGCAGCCUGGGUCCAGCCCUGCAGGAAGGCUCCAUUGGCCCAGCCAGACCCGUGGUGGUGAGUCCGAGAGCGGAGCUCUCCAGACGCCCUCUCUUCUGUGA
RNA transcript from Aethalodelphis obliquidens (Pacific white-sided dolphin), 1689 nucleotides. It is a transcript of the gene named uroporphyrinogen-III synthase pseudogene, with no coding region annotated. The transcript has a single exon. The record is from RefSeq and is a predicted model, not a curated record. NCBI's taxonomy places the organism in Eukaryota, Metazoa, Chordata, Mammalia, Artiodactyla, Delphinidae.